UGCUCACGUAAUUCAGUGAACUUUACUAGUAAGGUUCAAAACAAAUGCUUCCAGGGAACUCUUAAUGCAGACCUGGGUUUACAUUGUCUUACGCUCCUCUUAUGGUACCCUGGAGCACCGGCUUUCCCUUAUUGUCCAAUACUUGGUUGGCAUCUCAGUAAAUAGUCAUAGUUUUUCAUGAACUCUGAAUUCUGUGUUUUAUUUUUUUGUAGCUACAAGAAUCUACAAGUGACCAUGAAGUUAAGUUGUAUGCUGGUUCCCACCCCCCCCCUCUGAUAUUUAGGGUGGAGUAGGUACUAAAAUACCUGAGAAGAUAGACAAUCUUUGGUCCACUGAAAAACUAUGCAAGUUGGAAAAGCUUUGUCAGGAUGAUGGAAGUCCAUCAGUCAAGUUCCUGAUGGGAGUUAGUGGCAUUGGGUACAACCUUUUUUGCCCUGUUUGUUUGAUGGAAUUAUGAACAGAAACUGGGAGACUGGAGACUGUGAGAAGAAAGAAUUUCGGCUUAUGCUGCAGUGCCCAAACUGAGACACCAGAUGUGAAAUUCACUGAAAGAAAGGGGUACAGAGUUGCCCAAUAUGGACUUUGCAGUAGAGAAGUAAAGUGCAGAAUUGUGAAGAGUAAUCUAAUCACACAACUUUAAUGGCGAAAAAAGUUCAACUAUUCAUUGGAGUGUUGUGCUUAUGAUGCACUCUCCAUCCAAACUGGAGUUUGGACUGCUUUGCUCUACUGUAGGCUGCAAGCUGGUACUUAUCUAAAGAUGCUUCUGCUGCUGCUGUGACCUGUUAUGAGAAUUUUCCUGUUUCUUCUUACAAACUGCCAGGAACUUUGUGAAGGAAGGAAUUAAGACUUUAGAAGGCACAGAGUCAAGCCAGGGGAUAAGGAUUAGCUCCUAACUCGUCCAAAUUUCACAACAGAAUCAUACGAACAGUGCUCGAAGGUAGCAGUUGGAGAAGAACUCAAGUGGCCAUGGUGGGACCAUGCGCACCAUGUUCAAAACUGUCUUGAAUGUGUGGAAGACUAGGAGAAUCUAACUUAAGGGACUAUGACCAUCCUGGUAAAAAUCACUUGCUAGAAAAGCCUAUGUGUAAUGCAGCCAGAUCUAAAAUCAUGGCUUAGCUGGGUAAACUGAAAAGUAAUACCUUAGGUUGUGAUUUAUUCGUGUGAUGUGUGUGGAUCCUAGUUUGCAUUCGCAGUUCUGCAAGCUCAUUAUAAUUUGACCAUUUUCUCUGUGUAACCCUGUCUGCUUUAAGAAAUUGUUCUGGAAUAGGCAUUGUCUUCAAAGCAGAAGGUAAGAAAGGAAUGUUGCAAGAAAUGGAAAUGUGAUUGCAGCUGAGAAUCUGAGAGGAGCAUGUGUCAGUAUGGAGACAGACAACUUUCAAAGGAUAGGCAAUGUUGAGCUUUCAAAAUAAAGCCAAGAACAGAAGGGGAAGCAUGAAACUGGAGGGUACAUUUAUGAGACUGUACUGUCUAAAUAUGUCUAAUCAUUAUAGUUCAUUCCCCCCCAUUUGCUGCAUUAUCAUUUUAGGUGAUGACAGACUAGAGAUAAAACAACAUAGCUGAAAAGUGAAUUGUGUAGAGAUUAAAAAACAGUUCAAUAGGAAAAGUGGCAGAAGAGAUCUGCAGAAAGAGGUCUGCUUUCUUGCAAUUAUCAGCACAAGCUUUAUCUGUGUUUUUCUUAGGCUGCUGUGAUUUGCUCACACUGUUGCGUGGUGAGCAGCCUGAUAACAAUUAGGGCUGGGGAACGGAAAGUAGGAAGUCCUAUGGUCCUUCCUGCUCUAAUAUCACUUUAGGUGUACACUAAGGUGAACACUACUACUCAUAGUAUAAAACAGUGUUUCACAGUACUGUAUGCCAUCUGGAUGUUCUAAUGGAAUAUGUAACUAAUCAGUUCAGCAGGGAUUUCACUUCAAUCUCCAAGAUGACUGGCAAUCAGCUCUGUGUCAUACAUUGCCAUUAAUGAAUGUGGAUUUCAGUAACUUGCUAAAUGCUGACCUACACUCAAAGUCCAAAUUAAGGUACAGAUAAGCUAUAGUAAUAUGCUGUUGUUGAAAGCUUUAAGGCUUUCUUCAAAGUGUUUUGAUUUUCCUUUUUGGUUUAUUUUACUGUGUAUGUUCCGUGAAUCCCUUUGAAACUGUUAAACUUCUGUGUUACAAUUUCAUUCCUGUUUGACAAGCAUUAUCUAUUACUAUAGUUUCUCAAGAAUGCACAUCCUGGCAGAACUGCAUGUAUUCAGAGAUGUGUAUUUGUAAAGGUGGUUUUGAUGUGACAGGGCAUCGAUCAAACCGUAUGAAACUACUUCAAAUCUGUUUGAUUUCACUUUGAAUUUCUUGCUUUCUUUGCUUCCUUGCAGAGUAUCUGUCAGCUACCAAAUAAAGACAGUGUAUCCACCGAGGAGAAGUGAUAUCUGGUAAACCUAAAAAAUAGUUGAUCUCUGGUACACCGCAGGCAUUUGUUUAAGGUUGUGUGUUCAAAUGUACUUCCACGCCCAGAGCAUGGCACUUACUAGGUAUCUAACUCCUCUGUGUAGUAUUGCACUGGUUUUGGAUGGGGUGGAUUUGAUUUUCUUAAUAGCACCUUGUAUGGAUCUGUGACCAAAACAGUGUUGACAACACACCGAUGUUUUAGCUAUUGCUGAACAGUGCUCGCACAGUGUCAAGGCCUUCUCUGUUUCUCACGCUGCCCCCCACCAGCAAGUAGACUGGGGGUUGCACAAGAAGCUGGGAGGGGACAUAACCAGGACAGCUGACCCAAACUGGCCAAAGGGAUAUUCUAUACCAUAUGGCAUUAUGCGCAGCAAUAAAAGCUCAGGA
Molecule: long non-coding RNA, 2810 nt
Organism: Gymnogyps californianus (California condor)
Lineage: Eukaryota; Metazoa; Chordata; Aves; Accipitriformes; Cathartidae
Exons: 6
Source: RefSeq, a predicted model, not a curated record